This 775-nucleotide long non-coding RNA is filed under the name Capsicum annuum. Its description in RNAcentral is "long non-coding RNA (CANN_LNC016352)". Lineage: Eukaryota; Viridiplantae; Streptophyta; Magnoliopsida; Solanales; Solanaceae. The record is from RNAcentral.
UGGUUAUGGGUACGUUACAGGCCUUUCAUAUUCUUGUGUAUAUUUUACUAGACCAUAGAUGUAAUGCCCUAAUUUUCUGAAUCGAAACACUACACAGUGCUCAUGACCUCGAAGGACCACACGAUAACCCAUGACUAAUAUUUGUACCUAUAUACUGCAUAAAACACUAUAUAAUAUGGAAACAUGAAUUGAAAGGCCAUAAGGUUCAAUACUAAUACAUAACUGAAAAUAGGGUAUAACAAUACCAAAACAACUAAGAUAAUUGUCUGAACAUACUAUAGUCUGAAAGCCUCUAAACUUGUUUGAAUAAGGAUUUGAUGGGACAUGUCCCCAACUAACUCCAACUACUGAAAUAGACUGAAAACUAAAAUAGUAAUGUAAUCAUCAUUUCCUCGAAGGAUAAGGACUCACAGCUGACUCUGACUGUUGAACUAGGAUGCUACUGAUGCUCUGGAGCUCGUGCUUCUAAACCUAUGGUAUAAGACACCAUAGCACAAAUGCGUUAAUACUUUGAAUGUACUGGUAUACAAGUGAGGUAGGCUGAAUAUAAUAGGUUUAUAUGCAUGAACAAUACUAACUGACUGACUAACAUGAAGGUGAAAUACAUACAUGCAUACGUAACUAUAACUGACAUUGUGAUUGGAUUGAAUAUCGAGUUUUGACUACUGAGUUUACUGAUAUUGACAUCUGAGUCACUGAUGAGUGAGAAAGACUGAUACUAUAUUAGUGAAUACUGAGGGACUGAUACUAUGUUAUUGAUAUAUGAAUAACUGUG